Ornithodoros turicata is the source of this 2798-nucleotide RNA transcript. RefSeq lists it as uncharacterized. NCBI's taxonomy places the organism in Eukaryota, Metazoa, Arthropoda, Arachnida, Ixodida, Argasidae. The transcript is spliced from 2 exons. The record is from RefSeq and is a predicted model, not a curated record.
AGAUGGUGAAACGAGACUACGACGGUUAGGGAGGCGGAUCCCGGAACCAACAGACGCUGGAGUAGGCUGGCAUGGCUAAGAUGUGGGAAUUUGACGCCUUCAUUGACGAAGGAGACGAAGACUUCGCUUCGUACGUGGAAAGAUUUGGGCACUAUUGCAAGGUAGCCAACGUGCAAGACGAAGAACUUAAGAAGUCAGCCUUCAUCACUGCCAUAGGGAAGAAAGCGUACAAGACGCUCAAAGAUUUGCUUCUACCGUCAAAGCCGGAAGAGAAGUCAUUCAAAGAUUUGGUAAAGGUACUGAGCGAACACUACGGGCCUACAAGCCAAGUCAUUGCGGAGCGCUUCAAAUUUAACCGGCGCUACCAAGGGGAAGGGGAGUCCGUCGCAGUUUUUGCAGUCGCGCUGAAGCACAUGGCUGCGAAAUGCGAGUUCGGCCAGUUUCUCGACGACGCGCUGCGGGACCGGUUCGUCGCGGGACUGCGGAACCCAGCCAUCCAGACAGGAUUACUAAAGAAAAAGGAGCUGACGUUCGAGACGGCGUGUGAGUUCGCCAAGAGCGUCGAAUUGGCCGAGCGAGAGUCUAGGGGCUUCCGACCAGUUGCUGGAACAGACGCCGAAGUCCAUGCGAUCAAAAAGACAAGCAGGAAGCCUGUUUCGGGGAGUGAAACGAGAACAGCCAAGAACAAAUGUUAUCGGUGCGGCGAAGAACAUGACGCAAAUUCGUGUCGCUAUCGAAAGACAAGAUGUUAUCACUGCAAGCGCACGGGGCAUCUGUCUCGCGUGUGCAGAUCUAGGCAGACAACGGCCGACGCGGUUCAUAACGUGGACGACGAACAGCCUGAUAGCGAGCUGUUGUUAUACAGCGUGUAUCACGUCGGGACAACGAAGCGACCGUAUGAAGUGGAAGUGCGGCUUGAAGGUAUGACUGUGAAAAUGCAAGUUGAUACAGGCGCAGCUGUUUCGCUCCUGUCAGAAAGCCUGUUCAAGCUGCUAAAACAACCGCCGUCGCUUGCGCAGUGCGCACUGAAGCUCAAAACGUACGGCGGAACGCCGCUUGAAGUCAUAGGCCAGGGCCAAGUCGCUGUGGAAUACAACGGACAACGGAAGGUUCUGCAAAUCAUCGUGGUACCCGGAGACAAGCCAGCGUUGCUUGGGCGCGACUGGAUUGAGAGCCUCGGGGUCGACUUGAACAGCAUUCACGAGGUCCACACCGAGCUAGCUCCGGACAGCCUCGUUAGAAGGUAUGCAAGCGUUUUUUCACCGGGGUUAGGCCUGAUAAAAGGCUUUCAAGCAAAGCUUGUGCUUAAGGAAGGCAGCUUACCGGUAUUUUGCAAGGCACGACCAGUACCGUAUGCCAUUCGUGAGCCAGUUAGAGAAGAACUAAAGGACCUGCUAGCGGACGGCGUCCUUGUGGCAGUCACGCGAAGCGACUGGGCCACACCGAUAGUAGCCGUACAGAAGCCAGGCAACAAAGUGCGACUUUGCGGAGAUUAUAAAGUGACUGUAAACCCCUGCAUCAAGAGUGAUCAUUACCCCUUGCCCACGGUCGAGGACUUGUUCACUGUUUUGGCUGACAGGUUGACGGGAAGGUGUUUACCGUUCUUGAUCUCUCCGCAGCGUAUCAGCAAAUUGAGUUGCACCCGGACUCGCGUCCCUUGUUGACCAUUAAUACUCACAUGGGAUUGUACCAGUAUGUCCGAAUGCCAUACGGAAUUUCGAGCGCACCUGCAGUGUUCCAAGCCAUUAUGGACGAGCUUCUGAAGGGACUACCUGGGGUGGUCUGCUACCUCGACGAUGUUCUCAUCAUGGGAGCGACCUACGCCGAAUGCCGGGUCCGAGUGGAGGCAGUUCUGCAGCGGUUCAUGGAACACGGCGUAAAAGUAAGGCAAGAAAAAUGCAAGUUUUUCAUGAAGUCUGUAAAAUAUCUGGGCCACAUCAUAGAUGAGCAAGGCGUCCACCCAUGCCCUAAAAAGGUACAGGCCAUAAAGGAAGCACCUUCACCACGAAACGUGAGUGAGCUAAAGGCUUACUUGGGAAUGUUAACUUUUUAUUCAAAGUUCAUGCCAAACAUGUCCUCGAAGUUGAAGCCCUUGUAUGAGUUGCUCCAGAAAGAUAAAAAAUGGAAAUGGUCUGCGCAAGCAGAAUUGGCAUUCGAAGAAAGCAAGAAAUUGCUUACACAGGACAGUGUGCUAACUUUCUACGACCCAAGGAAGCCACUAGGACUAGUGUGCGAUGCGUCCCCUUAUGGGGUAGGAGCAGUUUUAUUUCAUGUCAUCAACGGCGAAGAAAAGCCAAUUGCGUAUGCGUCACGCACGCUGAGUAAAGCCGAAAGCGGUUACGCCCACAUCGAAAAAGAAGCGCUAGCUGUUGUAUUCGGAGUAAAACGGUUCCAUAAGUUUUUGUAUGGGCGAGAGUUUACAAUUUAUUCCGAUCAUCUUCCCCUAGCAGGGCUUCUUGGUCAAACAAAACCAAUUCCUCAAAUGGCUGCUGCGAGAAUGCAACGAUGGAUGCUAAUGCUGCUUGCUUAUCGUUACAAGUGGGUCUACAGAAAAGGAGAGCAAGUGGCAAACGCUGACGCGUUAUCAAGAUUACCCCUUCGAAAUGAAGGAGACAAAAGUGACUAUGUGCAUUUCUUUUCGGCAGUGCAAGCAGCACCGUUAUCAGCAGACAAGAUACGGGAAGAAACGCAAAGGGAUGCGGUCUUGUCAAAGAACGAACGCUGUGCAGCAUACGAGGACACCGCCGUACCACCCAGCCUCAAAUGGAGCAGCGGAAAGACUUGUCCAGACAGUCAAA